Molecule: ribosomal RNA, 433 nt
Filed under: uncultured bacterium
Lineage: Bacteria
Description: partial 16S ribosomal RNA
Rfam family: Bacterial small subunit ribosomal RNA
Source: RNAcentral
AACGAACGCUGGCGGCAGGCCUAACACAUGCAAGUCGAGCGAGAUCUUCGGGUCUAGCGGCGGACGGGUGAGUAACGCGUGGGAAUAUGCCUCUUGGUACGGAAUAGCCUCGGGAAACUGGGAGUAAUACCGUAUGUGCCCUCUGGGGGAAAGAUUUAUCGCCAAGAGAUUAGCCCGCGUUGGAUUAGGUAGUUGGUGGGGUAAUGGCCUACCAAGCCGACGAUCCAUAGCUGGUUUGAGAGGAUGAUCAGCCACACUGGGACUGAGACACGGCCCAGACUCCUACGGGAGGCAGCAGUGGGGAAUCUUAGACAAUGGGGGCAACCCUGAUCUAGCCAUGCCGCGUGAGUGAUGAAGGCCUUAGGGUUGUAAAGCUCUUUCAGCUGGGAAGAUAAUGACGGUACCAGCAGAAGAAGCCCCGGCUAACUCCGUG